This 268-nucleotide ribosomal RNA is filed under the name uncultured Rhizobiaceae bacterium. RNAcentral describes it as "partial 16S ribosomal RNA". It matches the Rfam family "Bacterial small subunit ribosomal RNA", at positions 1117 to 1382 of the family's 1533-position model. The record is from RNAcentral. Lineage: Bacteria; Pseudomonadati; Pseudomonadota; Alphaproteobacteria; Hyphomicrobiales; Rhizobiaceae.
GCCAGCAUUAGUUGGGCACUCUAAGGGACGUGCCGGUGAUAAGCCGAGAGGAAAGGUGGGGGAGUGACGUCAAGUCCUCCAUGGCCCUUACGGGCUGGGCUACACACGUGCUACAAUGGUGGUGACAGUGGGCAGCGAGCAACGCGAGUGUGAGCUAAUCUCCAAAAGCCAUCUCAGUUCGGAUUGCACUCUGCAACUCGAGUGCAUGAAGUUGGAAUCGCUAGUAAUCGCGGAUCAGCAUGCCGCGGUGAAUACGUUCCCGGGCCUU